Molecule: non-coding RNA, 77 nt
Organism: Potamilus streckersoni
Lineage: Eukaryota; Metazoa; Mollusca; Bivalvia; Unionida; Unionidae
Source: the annotation of a GenBank genome assembly
GACCGUUCCGGUGGCCUAGUGGUUAGAGCUUCUGCCUUGGUUGCGGGAGGUUGUGGGUUCAAUCCCUGGGUGAGUCA